AGGACGAACGCUGGCGGCGUGCUUAACACAUGCAAGUCGAGCGGAAAGGCCCUUCGGGUACUCGAGCGGCGAACGGGUGAGUAACACGUGAGUAACCUGCCCCUAGCUCUGGGAUAGCUCCGGGAAACCGGGAUUAAAUACCAGAUACGACCACUUUAGACAUCUGUCGUGGUGGAAAGGAUUCCGGCUAGGGAUGGGCUCGCGGCCUAUCAGCUUGUUGGUGGGGUAACGCCUACCAAGGCGACGACGGGUA
Molecule: ribosomal RNA, 253 nt
Filed under: uncultured bacterium
Lineage: Bacteria
Description: partial small subunit ribosomal RNA
Rfam family: Bacterial small subunit ribosomal RNA
Source: RNAcentral